AUUCGGCUGACGAGUCCCAAAUAAGACGAAACGCGCUUUCUCGAU
RNAcentral lists this non-coding RNA (45 nucleotides) under Schistosoma mansoni. The record is from RNAcentral. Lineage: Eukaryota; Metazoa; Platyhelminthes; Trematoda; Strigeidida; Schistosomatidae.